CUCCGAUGAUGAGCCUGCCAUGCUAAUACCGAUGCACCAGACUGACUGCGCUGUUAGUCUGGGUGUGGGUGAGUUUAACUUACCUUCUCACACAUGGAGUGUGCACUGAGGAGA
Molecule: small nucleolar RNA, 114 nt
Organism: Scleropages formosus (Asian bonytongue)
Lineage: Eukaryota; Metazoa; Chordata; Actinopteri; Osteoglossiformes; Osteoglossidae
Source: Ensembl